This 440-nucleotide ribosomal RNA is filed under the name uncultured bacterium. RNAcentral's name for it is "partial 16S ribosomal RNA". It matches the Rfam family "Bacterial small subunit ribosomal RNA", at positions 338 to 795 of the family's 1533-position model. The record is from RNAcentral.
CCUACGGGAGGCAGCAGUAGGGAAUAUUGCUCAAUGGGGGAAACCCUGAAGCAGCAAUGCCGCGUGGAGGAUGAUGGUUUUCGGAUUGUAAACUCCUUUUGUUAGAGAAGAUAAUUACGGUAUCUAACGAAUAAGCACCUGCUAACUCCGUGCCAGCAGCCGCGGUAAUAGGGGGGGUGCAAGCGUUACUCGGAAGCACUGGGCGUAAAGGGCGCGUAGGUGGGAGAGAAAGUCAGAUGUGAAAGCCUAUGUCUUAACCAUAGAAGUGCAUUUGAAACUGUUAUUCUUGAGUAUGGUGGGGGUAGGUGGAAUACUUGGUGUAGGGGUAAAAUGCGUAGAGAUCAAGAAGAAUACUCAUUGCGAAGGCGACCUGCUAGAACAUAACUGACGCUGAUGCGCGAAAGCGUGGGGAGCAAACAGGAUUAGAUACCCUUGUAGUC